GAAGUACUCCCUUCGUUCGGAAUUACUCGUCUCGAAAAUGGAUGUAUCUAGAACUAAAAUACGUCGAGAUACAUCCAUUUCUGUGACAAGUAAUUCCGAACGGAGGGAGUAGUUA
Non-coding RNA from Triticum aestivum (bread wheat), 115 nucleotides. The record is from Rfam. Lineage: Eukaryota; Viridiplantae; Streptophyta; Magnoliopsida; Poales; Poaceae.